GACGAACGCUGGCGGCGUGCUUAACACAUGCAAGUCGAGCGGUAAGGCCCUUUCGGGGUACGACGAGCGGCGGAACGGGUAGGAGUAACAACGUGGGUGGACCUCGCCCUCCAGCUCUGGGAGUAAAGACCCGGGAAACCGUAGGGUCGUAAUAACCGGACUAUGACUCCAUGACGCAUGUUGUGGGGUGGGAAAGACCUUG
This 202-nucleotide ribosomal RNA is filed under the name uncultured bacterium. Its description in RNAcentral is "partial 16S ribosomal RNA". The record is from RNAcentral.